Molecule: long non-coding RNA, 230 nt
Filed under: Elaeis guineensis (African oil palm)
Lineage: Eukaryota; Viridiplantae; Streptophyta; Magnoliopsida; Arecales; Arecaceae
Description: long non-coding RNA (EGUI_LNC013372)
Source: RNAcentral
GAGGUAUCUUUCACUAUCCACGACGCGAAGCAUCUCGUAUAAUGGCUUAAUAGCCUUCACUAUCUUCUCAGCCCACUGUCAGAAUGACUGACUCGUCAUCAAGUUUUUCACAUGACUUCCAUCAGUGCCGGCCCUCAUGUAUCUACUCUCUUGCCCCUUGGCACUGAUAAACAUCUGACGUAAGGCUGCUUUCGUCUGAAGAAGACUAUCAAGUGAUAUGUAGUUGGUAG